Molecule: long non-coding RNA, 1007 nt
Filed under: Astyanax mexicanus (Mexican tetra)
Lineage: Eukaryota; Metazoa; Chordata; Actinopteri; Characiformes; Acestrorhamphidae
Description: lncRNA (ENSAMXG00005013892.1)
Source: RNAcentral
GGAAACAGCACCGCAACCUUUAUGCGCUUUCAUCAAGCCCUCUUACUUUUGUCUCCAGGCUGCUUGUUCAGAAUGGCCGCACUCUGAAGUUUAAGGCAUGGUCGAAAUCACAAAUCAGCAAGGAGCCGUCCUUGCCUUUGUGUCUCUGGCCACACUCGGGUUAGUGUCUGCCAUCUGCUUGGGCUGCAGAAAAAAAUCCAAGAUAGUUCAGGAGGAUAACCAGCUUUAUAUUCCACAACUAUUUCAGCGAGAGGGGAGCAGAUUCGCUGUGACACGAUCAAAAACAGUGACCAGGCCUAACCAGAUAACCUCAGAUCAGUCUCCGAGCUUCGGGAACACAGGUCAUGCGUCUCACAUCCAACCACAGGCAGUUCAGGACACUCACAGCAGUUACCAGAACCUUCCCAACUGUAAGUCUAUAUUUCAGUUUUCUUCCAAUUAACUAAAAAAAAUACAUCUGCAGAUUUUCCAUUUAUUAAUUGAAAAGUUACUUUAUUUCAGUAAUUCUUUUCCAAAUCUGAAACUUAUCUAUUAUAUAGAUUUGUAUAGGCUAUUCUAAGUGUUUUUUCCUUUUAUUGUUGAUGAUUAUGGCUUACAGCCAAUCAAAACCUAAAAUUAUCUCAUGAAGAGAGAGUCAUCUGCUGGUGUUGAUCCACUGUGUUUUAUUAUCAAGUCUAAGGUCAGUGCAGAGUUUUCCCACAAAAUCUUACAGCACUUCAUGCUUACCUCUGCUGACAACUUUUAUAAAGAUGGAGAUUUCAUUUUCCAGCAGGACUUGGCACACUGCCUAAAGUACCAAUUGGUCUUUUCCCCAGCUGACACACAACCGACCUUCAACAUUAUAAUGUGGUUGAAAUGUGGUUAAAGUAAUGUUUGUUGUUGUUUCAAUGUUAAAACAAAGUUUAAUGUUAAAUGGUUGUGCAAACAUUGAAAUGUUAUUGUUGAAUCAAUAUAAUGUCCUCAACCUUCUGCCAUUAAAUUACCAUUUUAUUUAUUCAUGGAGGAAU